RNAcentral lists this long non-coding RNA (1006 nucleotides) under Danio rerio (zebrafish). RNAcentral describes it as "lncRNA (ENSDARG00000117492.1)". The record is from RNAcentral. Lineage: Eukaryota; Metazoa; Chordata; Actinopteri; Cypriniformes; Danionidae.
AAAUGUAAUUCACUAGGAAAUUGAAGACUUUUUAGGGAAGUUGGUAGGCUUAGUUCAGGUGGACACAGACUAGCAGCUUGAUAGUUUGUGCUAACACAAAAGUGCUAACUUACCUUAUGUUUCGUCAUCGUGGUGUUCCUUAUCCGUUCAAUUCAGUGAAUUACUCAAAAAAAAAAAAAAAAAAAAAAAACAAACACAACUUUAUAUACAGCUAAAAUAUAAGCCGUCUUGUGGCAUAACUGCUUGCGUUUUAGGAACCUAUGCUCCUAUCUGUUAUUUCAGUCAAACAUUUUCGUCGAUGAUAUGUUUUGAACAAAACGCCAUGCCGCGUUUAAUCACCUGAUUUGCUACACUCGACGUCAGCGUCGCGUCCAGACGGCGCCAUUUUUUUUUUUAUUUUUAAAGGUAACUUGACUGCUAAUGAGGAGAAAAGUGUCAGGAAAGAGAACGGCUCGGCUGACACAUUCAGUGCGCAAGAGUAUCAUAUGGCUUCACAGAAUUGGACUAUCUCUAGUAAUAUCUCAACUAUUUGAAAUACUACCUUAGAGAGAUCUUCUAGAUGUGUGUUGCAGUGGCAUGAAGAUUUCCACAUCAAGGGAGCAGUGGCAGUGAUGGAAUCAAAGGCUCGCCUGUGGCUUUGAACCCUCCUGAUGAAGAGAUGAAAAGGGCCAGGUUUUUUGCUGGAGCUCCUCGCGCUUCUCCACUCCAGUUUCUGUCUGGCCAGAAGCUGUGAUGGACAGUAGGAAAGAACAGAAGUGAGGACCAGUCUGACCCACAGCCGAUGCCUGGCAGGAAGAAACACUGGAAGGGAAAUAAAGACACUAAUCCUCGGCUGCUUCAGCAGGUCAGGUCGAGCUCGACAGUGUGCAUAGCUCAAAUGCAGACCCAGGAGCGUUUCCCAGCCUGCCAUUCGAAGGUUCACGAGAGCUUCAGUAUUAUUCCAGCAGAGAGCAUGGAUUUUAAUCUUCAUCUGAGUCACACCUGUCACACCAAAGUGAAAGUGUGA